Molecule: small RNA, 381 nt
Filed under: Arabidopsis thaliana (thale cress)
Lineage: Eukaryota; Viridiplantae; Streptophyta; Magnoliopsida; Brassicales; Brassicaceae
Description: ATSL176320
Source: RNAcentral
UCUUAAAAUGUAUAUUUCAGAUCUAGGGGUGUCAAAAUGGUUCAAAAUUCAUGGGUCAACUCAACUCAACUCAACUCAAUCCAUGAACCCUAAUGAGUUGAAAAUUUUGAUUCAAAUGAGUUGAUGGGUCAAAUGAGUUGAUGAGUCAAUUGGUUUGAUGAGUAAAAUGAGUUGGGUUGUAAUGGUUAAUGGUUUCAAUGGUUUACCCAAUUAACCCAUCAAGUUUUGUAAAAUUGAAUUAAACCAACUAAAAUCUCUAAACCAAUGCCAAUUUAAGUUUAACCAACACAUCUAAACCAAUUUAAUAAAAUUAAUAUUUUUCCAAAUUUCUUAAAUAUACAAGCGAUGAAAUUGAGAAAAAGUAAACUCGUAAUUUUUUCA